UACGUAGGGGGCAAGCGUUGUCCGGAAUCAUUGGGCGUAAAGAGCGCGUAGGCGGCCCUGUAAGUCCGCUGUGAAAGUCAAGGGCUCAACCCUUGGAUGCCGGUGGAUACUGCAGGGCUAGAGUCCGGAAGAGGCGAGUGGAAUUCCUGGUGUAGCGGUGAAAUACGCAGAUAUCAGGAGGAACACCGAUGGCGAAGGCAGCUCGCUGGGACGGUACUGACGCUGAGGCGCGAAAGCGUGGGGAGCAAACAGG
RNAcentral lists this ribosomal RNA (253 nucleotides) under uncultured bacterium. Its description in RNAcentral is "partial 16S ribosomal RNA". It matches the Rfam family "Bacterial small subunit ribosomal RNA", at positions 524 to 776 of the family's 1533-position model. The record is from RNAcentral.